This 253-nucleotide ribosomal RNA is filed under the name uncultured bacterium. Its description in RNAcentral is "partial 16S ribosomal RNA". It matches the Rfam family "Bacterial small subunit ribosomal RNA", at positions 524 to 776 of the family's 1533-position model. The record is from RNAcentral.
UACAGAGGUCUCAAGCGUUGUUCGGAUUCAUUGGGCGUAAAGGGUGCGUAGGUGGCGGGUUAAGUCAGGUGUGAAAUCUCGGGGCUCAACCCCGAAACUGCACUUGAUACUGCCUUGCUCGAGUACUGGAGAGGAGAUUGGAAUUUACGGUGUAGCGGUGAAAUGCGUAGAUAUCGUAAGGAAGACCAGUGGCGAAGGCGGGUCUCUGGACAGUUCCUGACGCUGAGGCACGAAGGUCAGGGGAGCAAACGGG